CACACCAAUAGAAGCGUCUUAGCAAGGCGA
Molecule: small RNA, 30 nt
Filed under: Bombyx mori (domestic silkworm)
Lineage: Eukaryota; Metazoa; Arthropoda; Insecta; Lepidoptera; Bombycidae
Description: ovarian small RNA-12898
Source: RNAcentral